AAGAAAUAUGGGAGGCCCCCAGAAGCUGGAAAAGGCAAGGAAACAAAAUCCAAGAAGCAUUUCUGGAGUCUCCACGAAGGAAUUCAGCCCUGCCAACACUUUGAUUUUAGUCCAGUGAGACCCAUUUUGGACUUCUCGACUCCAGAACUAUAAGGGGCUUCUCUGCCCUCCUGCUGUGCCAGGAAGGAGAAGCCCAGACUCAAGUCUGUGAAUAAAUGGUUCCUUUGCUUUUGCAUCAGACUUGGCUCCUUAGUGGUCUCUGUGGGGGAUUUCAAGAUCUGGGCACAACAGCUCAAGGAAAUGAAAGGUGUUUCAUCCUGGAUGAAGAAAGCUGAAAAAAAAAAUCACAACCAUCUUAAUAAGAAAAAAGAUGUUCCAUCUGCAGAUAAACAAGCAAAAUCAUACUUUUUCCUAAUGUCAUCAGAAAGCUGAUAUGGCAAGGAAGAGAACUGAUCUGAAACCUUAUGAAAGACAAGUCACAAACACUGGGUGAGAAGAAUUUAGCCACAGUUUCAAUGAAUAGCUAAAAACCAAGUAUCAGCUGGCAUGAGAUGAUGGAACUCCUGGGUGACACAGACACAAAGUAAAUUCUCACCUAUUUCACAAACUCUUGUUUACAGACUGCUGCAAAGUGUUUACCAGAAAGACUAUGGAUGGAAGAAGCCAAAGAACCUCUUAAUAUUGCAGACCUGGAGCAAAGAAGCUGCCACAGAAGCAAAGGCAUAAAACUUUCCCAGACCC
Long non-coding RNA from Nycticebus coucang (slow loris), 741 nucleotides. RefSeq lists it as uncharacterized. Lineage: Eukaryota; Metazoa; Chordata; Mammalia; Primates; Lorisidae. The transcript is spliced from 3 exons. The record is from RefSeq and is a predicted model, not a curated record.